This 218-nucleotide long non-coding RNA is filed under the name Hordeum vulgare. RNAcentral's name for it is "long non-coding RNA (HVUL_LNC020969)". Lineage: Eukaryota; Viridiplantae; Streptophyta; Magnoliopsida; Poales; Poaceae. The record is from RNAcentral.
UUCUUAUUGUUGUUUUUUUGUUGUUAUUGUUUUUAUUGUUGUUGUCGUUCUUGUCGUCCUUGUCGUCAUCGUUGUCAUCAUCGUCGUCCUGGUCGUCAUUGACGUCGUUGUCAUCGUUGCUGUUUUUGCCGUUGUUGUCAUUUUUUUGUAGUAGUUGUUGUUGUCGUUGUCGUUGUUCUCGUCGUAGUCGUUGUUGUCGCGGUUGUAGUCGUUGUUGC